This 73-nucleotide transfer RNA is filed under the name Trichonephila inaurata madagascariensis. It matches the Rfam family "tRNA". From Rfam's summary of the family: Transfer RNA (tRNA) molecules are approximately 80 nucleotides in length. Their secondary structure includes four short double-helical elements and three loops (D, anti-codon, and T loops). The record is from Rfam by way of RNAcentral. Lineage: Eukaryota; Metazoa; Arthropoda; Arachnida; Araneae; Nephilidae.
GUCCCCGUAGUGCAAUGGAUAGCAUGUUGGAUUUCUAAUCCAAAGGUCAUGGGCUCGAAUUCCACCUGGGAUA